This 75-nucleotide transfer RNA is filed under the name Rhamnusium bicolor. RNAcentral describes it as "tRNA-OTHER". Lineage: Eukaryota; Metazoa; Arthropoda; Insecta; Coleoptera; Cerambycidae. The record is from RNAcentral.
GGCUUCGUAGUCGAGUGGUAAGAAUACUUGCCUCUCACUCUGGAGUCCUGGGUUCGAUCCCCGGACGAGGAGCUA